AACCUCAACUGCCGGUAAGCUGUCCGGACUCCUACGGGAUCCGACCUUCGCCUUUAACUUUGAUUGCAGGAAGACUCCACCCGGACUCCUACGGGAGCCUGGCUUCGUCCCCAACUCCGACGGCUACAGACAGAUUGCGUCCGGACUCCGUCCGGACUCCUACGGGAGCCGGGCUCCAUCCUCAACCUCAACUGCUGGUAAGCUGUUCGGACUCCUAUGGGAGCCGACCUUCGCCUUUAACUUUGAUUGCAGGAAGACUCCGCUCAGACUCCCACGGGAGCCGGGCUCCACCCACUACCCCAACCGCAAGGAGGACUCCGCCCGGACCCCUACGUGGGGUCAGACUCCGACCACGGCCGAACUUCAGCCGACAGGUCUGCACUCCCAGGCC
This 391-nucleotide long non-coding RNA is filed under the name Elaeis guineensis (African oil palm). Its description in RNAcentral is "long non-coding RNA (EGUI_LNC030823)". The record is from RNAcentral. Lineage: Eukaryota; Viridiplantae; Streptophyta; Magnoliopsida; Arecales; Arecaceae.